GGUAUGGGGUGCAGCAGUAGGGAAUCUUCCGCAAUGGACGAAAGUCUGACGGAGCAACGCCGCGUGAGUGAUGAAGGUUUUCGGAUCGUAAAGCUCUGUUGUUAGGGAAGAACAAGUACCGUUCGAAUAGGGCGGUACCUUGACGGUACCUAACCAGAAAGCCACGGCUAACUACGUGCCAGCAGCCGCGGUAAUACGUAGGUGGCAAGCGUUGUCCGGAAUUAUUGGGCGUAAAGGGCUCGCAGGCGGUUUCUUAAGUCUGAUGUGAAAGCCCCCGGCUCAACCGGGGAGGGUCAUUGGA
Molecule: ribosomal RNA, 301 nt
Filed under: Bacillus sp. (in: firmicutes)
Lineage: Bacteria; Bacillati; Bacillota; Bacilli; Caryophanales; Bacillaceae
Description: bacterial SSU rRNA
Rfam family: Bacterial small subunit ribosomal RNA
Source: RNAcentral